CCCGCUGAACUUAAGCAUAUCAAUAAGCGGAGGAAAAGAAACUAACAAGGAUUCCCCUAGUAACUGCGAGUGAAGCGGGAAAAGCUCAAAUUUAAAAUCUGGUGGCCUCUGGUCAUCCGAGUUGUAAUUUAGAGAAGCGUCUUCCGCGCUGGACCAUGCACAAGUCUCCUGGAAUGGAGCGUCAUAGAGGGUGAGAAUCCCGUCUUUGGCAUGGAUGCACCAGGGCUUCUGUGAUGCGCUCUCAAAGAGUCGAGUUGUUUGGGAAUGCAGCUCAAAAUGGGUGGUGAACUCCAUCUAAAGCUAAAUAUUGGCGAGAGACCGAUAGCGAACAAGUACCGUGAGGGAAAGAUGAAAAGCACUUUGGAAAGAGAGUGAAACAGUACGUGAAAUUGUUGAAAGGGAAACGCUUGAAGUCAGUCGCGUCGACCGAGACUCAGCCUCGCCUUGGCUUGGUGUACUUCUCGGCUGACGGGUCAGUGUCAAUUUUGGGCCUCGGAUAAUGACAAGGGAAAGGUGGCACCUUUAUAGGUGUGUUAUAGUCUCCUGUCGGAUGCGAGGGUCGGGAUUGAGGAACUCAUGCACGCGCCUUUUGGUGUCGGGGCUUCGGCCUACGCUACGUGCUUAGGAUGCUGGCAUAAUGGCUUUAAACGACCCGUCUUGAAACACGG
This 668-nucleotide ribosomal RNA is filed under the name uncultured fungus. RNAcentral's name for it is "eukaryotic LSU rRNA". It matches the Rfam family "Eukaryotic large subunit ribosomal RNA", at positions 24 to 664 of the family's 3401-position model. The record is from RNAcentral. Lineage: Eukaryota; Fungi.